AAAAAAAAUUGUUGUAACGGCGAGCGGGGCGCGCAAAAAUUUAGGUAUUUAUUUUUCCCGCUUCUGAAAUCUUAAUUUUCUUAAAUUUUUAAUAUUAAUUACGCCCAGAAAAAUUUUAUAAUUUUUAAAAUUUUUAAAAUUCCCCCCUAAAAUUUUUAUGUAAAAAAAGGGUCAUAAAAAAUUUUUUAAACCAUAAGAAAAUUAUUAAAUUUUUUGGGGGAGAGUUUUUUUUUUUUUUUUUUAUAUUAAAAUAUUUAAUAUAUAUGGAAUAUUUUAAUAAUUUCUCUUUUUUUUUAAUCAGAAUAUUAAUUGUAAAUAUAAAAGGGCUAUAUAAAAUGUGAGAGUUUAAAAA
RNAcentral lists this ribosomal RNA (352 nucleotides) under Antheraea helferi. Its description in RNAcentral is "partial 12S ribosomal RNA". Lineage: Eukaryota; Metazoa; Arthropoda; Insecta; Lepidoptera; Saturniidae. The record is from RNAcentral.